GUAGGGAAUCUUCCGCAAUGGACGAAAGUCUGACGGAGCAACGCCGCGUGAGCGAUGAAGGUUUUCGGAUCGUAAAGCUCUGUUGUUAGGGAAGAAACCGUACCGAUCGAAUAGGUCGGUACCUUGACGGUACCUAACCAGAAAGCCACGGCUAACUACGUGCCAGCAGCCGCGGUAAUACGUAGGUGGCAAGCGUUGUCCGGAAUUAUUGGGCGUAAAGCGCGCGCAGGCGGUUUCUUAAGUCUGAUGUGAAAGCCCACGGCUCAACCGUGGAGGGUCAUUGGAAACUGGGAGACUCCGAGUGCAGAAGAGGAGAGCGGAAUUCCACGUGUAGCGGUGAAAUGCGUAGAUAUGUGGAGGAACACCAGUGGCGAAGGCGGCUCUCUGGUCUGUAACUGACGCUGAGGCGCGAAAGCGUGGGGAGCAAACAGGAUUAGAUACCCGUGUAGUCC
RNAcentral lists this ribosomal RNA (452 nucleotides) under uncultured bacterium. Its description in RNAcentral is "bacterial SSU rRNA". It matches the Rfam family "Bacterial small subunit ribosomal RNA", at positions 354 to 796 of the family's 1533-position model. The record is from RNAcentral.